RNAcentral lists this ribosomal RNA (1424 nucleotides) under Ralstonia solanacearum. RNAcentral's name for it is "bacterial SSU rRNA". It matches the Rfam family "Bacterial small subunit ribosomal RNA". Lineage: Bacteria; Pseudomonadati; Pseudomonadota; Betaproteobacteria; Burkholderiales; Burkholderiaceae. The record is from RNAcentral.
CCUUACACAUGCAAGUCGAACGGCAGCGGGGGUAGCUUGCUACCUCCGGCGAGUGGCGAACGGGUGAGUAAUACAUCGGAACGUGCCCUGUAGUGGGGGAUAACUAUCGAAAGACUAGCUAAUACCGCAUACGACCUGAGGGUGAAAGUGGGGGACCGCAAGGCCUCAUGCUAUAGGAGCGGCCGAUGUCUGAUUAGCUAGUUGGUGGGGUAAAGGCCCACCAAGGCGACGAUCAGUAGCUGGUCUGAGAGGACGAUCAGCCACACUGGGACUGAGACACCCAGACUCCUACGGGAGGCAGCAGUGGGGAAUUUUGGACAAUGGGGGCAACCCUGAUCCAGCAAUGCCGCGUGUGUGAAGAAGGCCUUCGGGUUGUAAAGCACUUUUGUCCGGAAAGAAAUCGCUUCGGUUAAUACCUGGAGUGGAUGACGGUACCGGAAGAAUAAGGACCGGCUAACUACGUGCCAGCAGCCGCGGUAAUACGUAGGGUCCAAGCGUUAAUCGGAAUUACUGGGCGUAAAGCGUGCGCAGGCGGUUGUGCAAGACCGAUGUGAAAUCCCCGGGCUUAACCUGGGAAUUGCAUUGGUGACUGCACAGCUAGAGUGUGUCAGAGGGAGGUAGAAUUCCACGUGUAGCAGUGAAAUGCGUAGAGAUGUGGAGGAAUACCGAUGGCGAAGGCAGCCUCCUGGGAUAACACUGACGCUCAUGCACGAAAGCGUGGGGAGCAAACAGGAUUAGAUACCCUGGUAGUCCACGCCCUAAACGAUGUCAACUAGUUGUUGGGGAUUCAUUUCCUUAGUAACGUAGCUAACGCGUGAAGUUGACCGCCUGGGGAGUUCGCAAGAUUAAAACUCAAAGGAAUUGACGGGGACCCGCACAAGCGGUGGAUGAUGUGGAUUAAUUCGAUGCAACGCGAAAAACCUUACCUACCCUUGACAUGCCACUAACGAAGCAGAGAUGCAUUAGGUGUCGAAAGAGAAAGUGGACACAGGUGCUGCAUGGCUGUCGUCAGCUCGUGUCGUGAGAUGUUGGGUUAAGUCCCGCAACGAGCGCAACCCUUGUCUCUAGUUGCUACGAAAGGGCACUCUAGAGAGACUGCCGGUGACAAACCGGAGGAAGGUGGGGAUGACGUCAAGUCCUCAUGGUCCUUAUGGGUAGGGCUUCACACGUCAUACAAUGGUGCAUACAGAGGGUUGCCAAGCCGCGAGGUGGAGCUAAUCCCAGAAAAUGCAUCGUAGUCCGGAUCGUAGUCUGCAACUCGACUACGUGAAGCUGGAAUCGCUAGUAAUCGCGGAUCAGCAUGCCGCGGUGAAUACGUUCCCGGGUCUUGUACACACCGCCCGUCACACCAUGGGAGUGGGUUUUGCCAGAAGUAGUUAGCCUAACCGCAAGGGGGGCGAUUACCACGCAGGGUUCAUGACUGG